This 506-nucleotide ribosomal RNA is filed under the name Salmonella enterica subsp. enterica serovar Kentucky. Its description in RNAcentral is "bacterial SSU rRNA". It matches the Rfam family "Bacterial small subunit ribosomal RNA", at positions 1 to 496 of the family's 1533-position model. The record is from RNAcentral. Lineage: Bacteria; Pseudomonadati; Pseudomonadota; Gammaproteobacteria; Enterobacterales; Enterobacteriaceae.
AAAUUGAAGAGUUUGAUCAUGGCUCAGAUUGAACGCUGGCGGCAGGCCUAACACAUGCAAGUCGAACGGUAACAGGAAGCAGCUUGCUGCUUCGCUGACGAGUGGCGGACGGGUGAGUAAUGUCUGGGAAACUGCCUGAUGGAGGGGGAUAACUACUGGAAACGGUGGCUAAUACCGCAUAACGUCGCAAGACCAAAGAGGGGGACCUUCGGGCCUCUUGCCAUCAGAUGUGCCCAGAUGGGAUUAGCUGGUUGGUGAGGUAACGGCUCACCAAGGCGACGAUCCCUAGCUGGUCUGAGAGGAUGACCAGCCACACUGGAACUGAGACACGGUCCAGACUCCUACGGGAGGCAGCAGUGGGGAAUAUUGCACAAUGGGCGCAAGCCUGAUGCAGCCAUGCCGCGUGUAUGAAGAAGGCCUUCGGGUUGUAAAGUACUUUCAGCGGGGAGGAAGGUGUUGUGGUUAAUAACUGCAGCAAUUGACGUUACCCGCAGAAGAAGCACCGG